AGUCACUGGGGGCCUGGUCAGUAGGGACAUGCACAGACCCAGGCCCAGGGGAUGCCCAAUGCUGGGAGGAGGCUCAGACAGCAGGAAGGAGAGAAGGAAGGAAGGAACUUCCGUAGUACCGAUGCCUACAAAAUUACAACACGUGGUGCUGUUUCUACUCCAUCACCAUGUUCGCUCUUUAUUUCCUAUGUAAUUCUCUAUUCAACCGGCCUCAGUUGAGCACAAAACCAUCCUUGUACCACCAUGAAUAGUUGGCCAUGGCUCUUUGAUAGCAAUUUUUGUUCUGCCGUAGAAAUUAUCCUUGAACCAGAAAAAAAAAUCCCCAAUUCAACACUCCAUUUUUGUGAAGAGCUGGUUCCGAAUUCUGGGUCACUUUUUGGAAAAAAUAUCUGUUGUGGUAAACAGUGCUGCAUCUGUGAUCUCAAGUCUCUACUGGAAUUGGAUAGAGAUGGUGAAUUUCAGCCAGAGCGCCCAAAGAACUCGUGUCCCGCGCUCCUGAACGCCAUCAGCCGCCGCACCUCCAUCUUCCCUCCUCCCACGAGUCUCCUGCUCCCCGUGACUCUGGCCUCCUCGCAGUGUUGCUGGGCCACGUCAGGAAGUGCUGGAGGACGUGGCAUUGCACCAACACCAGGCGGCCAGCCGUGUGGCUCAUCCCGCAAAUCAGGCUCUUCCUGUGCAUGGAGAUGGAGUCCCUCUGGAGGCAGCCCGUGGCCCUGUUCUCGGGCAGGUGGAGCAUGGAGACGACUGGGAACUUCACUAGACACGCAUCCAGCCGGUUCAAGGGCUUGUCGCGCCGUGCACCAGCUUGCAGGAGAAAGCCCAACGCCUCGCCAAGCACGAAGGCCUCCCUUCCCGACUUGAUGAAGGCAGAGUAGCGGUUGAGGUUGCGGCUCACAGUGACCGAGCUCCUGCCCACGUGGGGACCCAGGGAGCCGUCGAGCUCCAGCCCAGGCUUGGACCUGAAGAAGCUGGCAACCCGCGAACGCCAACAGGCACAGUCGAAAAAAGCAAAAGAAAAAUCCCAAACAAAA
RNAcentral lists this long non-coding RNA (1031 nucleotides) under Homo sapiens (human). Its description in RNAcentral is "long intergenic non-protein coding RNA 905". Lineage: Eukaryota; Metazoa; Chordata; Mammalia; Primates; Hominidae. The record is from RNAcentral.